This is a non-coding RNA of Strongylocentrotus purpuratus (purple sea urchin), 45 nucleotides long. NCBI's taxonomy places the organism in Eukaryota, Metazoa, Echinodermata, Echinoidea, Camarodonta, Strongylocentrotidae. The record is from Rfam.
CCAACAGUCUUUUUCAAGACUACCCACAGUCCUUUUCAGGACUAC